Long non-coding RNA from Venturia canescens, 649 nucleotides. RefSeq lists it as uncharacterized. The record is from RefSeq and is a predicted model, not a curated record. The transcript has 3 exons. NCBI's taxonomy places the organism in Eukaryota, Metazoa, Arthropoda, Insecta, Hymenoptera, Ichneumonidae.
CGAAUGUACAGGCUCCGGUCGUGAUAAAAAAUAAAACAAUUUUACCGAAUAUGGAAAUGUAAGAAGUUUGCCAUUAAAAGCUUAAUCUCAAUCCAAUUGAAAAAAAUGAAAAAAACUUUCGUCUCAAAAUGAGUUUUACCAGUGUUCGAUCUCAAGAUCGACCAUUAAAUUUUCACAGAAUAUCAGAAGUAUUUGCAACAUCGAGGAAUCCAAGGAUCCCAGAAAUGAGGCAUGGAGCUCGUGCAUAGACGAUGUACGGGAACGAGUAGUUUUAUCGCUAAGAUCCUGCACGAGGUUGGAAAGCUAGUGCUCUUUGCACGCUCAACAACCGUGAAGAGAGCAUCCAGGAGCAGAGAAAGAGAGCUCGGAAGCGCGCGGGCGAGAGAAGAGCAACAAACUUCGUAAAAGGUUCUCGAGGGGGAUUUAUCAACGACGUGGUACAUCGCAAUGGUCGGGGAGCGGGGUCGGCGUCACGGUGAUUAAUCGUGAAUGAUAAUUUUUGUUUUCCGAAUGUCUACCGGAAACGCGUGGAGAGAUCUCACGCGAAAAGAAAGGUGCAGGACCAGUUGUCAAUUGAAUUUAUGAUACAAUUACAAGCAGUUUCGUUCCCGAUAGAACGAGAAAUGUCCUCAUAUGCAAAUGACUCGAG